CUGCGGAGGAUCAUUAUCGAGUAACUAAACGGGGUUGUGCUGGCCCUCUUGGGCAUGUGCACGCCUCUACUCAUCCAUUACACCCCUUGUGCACCUAGAGGCGACGACCCCCUUGUGAGGUGGUCGCCUUCCUUUAUACACGCUUCAGAAGUCUGUAGAAUGUAAUUAGCCUAACGGCGAUAUAAUACAACUUUCAACAACGGAUCUCUUGGCUCUCGCAUCGAUGAAGAACGCAGCGAAAUGCGAUAAGUAAUGUGAAUUGCAGAAUUCAGUGAAUCAUCGAAUCUUUGAACGCACCUUGCGCUCCUUGGUAUUCCGAGGAGCAUGCCUGUUUGAGUGUCAUGAAACUCUCAACCCCAAGCUUUAAUCGGCUUGUGGUUGGACUUGGACGCUGCUGCGACCUCGCGGCUCGUCCUAAAUGCAUUAGCUGGAAAGUCUCGCUUCACGAGGUUCUCGGUGUGACAAUUAUCUACAUCGGACGCCGCAAGGCGGCCUCUUUGCGAGUGCAGUCCGCUUCUAAUCGUCGCUCGUCGACAGCUUUUAUUAAGAUCUGACCUCAAAUCAGGUAGGACUACCUGCUGAACUUAAGCAUAUCAAUAAGCGGAGGAA
This 609-nucleotide ribosomal RNA is filed under the name uncultured Basidiomycota. RNAcentral describes it as "eukaryotic LSU rRNA". The stretch from base 189 to 342 matches the Rfam family "5.8S ribosomal RNA". Lineage: Eukaryota; Fungi; Basidiomycota. The record is from RNAcentral.